Molecule: ribosomal RNA, 465 nt
Filed under: Vreelandella stevensii
Lineage: Bacteria; Pseudomonadati; Pseudomonadota; Gammaproteobacteria; Oceanospirillales; Halomonadaceae
Description: partial 16S ribosomal RNA
Rfam family: Bacterial small subunit ribosomal RNA
Source: RNAcentral
CCUACGGGAGGCUGCAGUGGGGAAUAUUGGACAAUGGGGGGAACCCUGAUCCAGCCAUGCCGCGUGUGUGAAGAAGGCCCUCGGGUUGUAAAGCACUUUCAGUGAGGAAGAACGCCUGGUGGUUAAUACCCAUCAGGAAAGACAUUACUCACAGAAGAAGCACCGGCUAACUCCGUGCCAGCAGCCGCGGUAAUACGGAGGGUGCGAGCGUUAAUCGGAAUUACUGGGCGUAAAGCGCGCGUAGGUGGCUUGAUAAGCCGGUUGUGAAAGCCCCGGGCUCAACCUGGGAACGGCAUCCGGAACUGUCAAGCUAGAGUGCAGGAGAGGAAGGUAGAAUUCCCGGUGUAGCGGUGAAAUGCGUAGAGAUCGGGAGGAAUACCAGUGGCGAAGGCGGCCUUCUGGACUGACACUGACACUGAGGUGCGAAAGCGUGGGUAGCAAACAGGAUUAGAUACCCCGGUAGUC